This 253-nucleotide ribosomal RNA is filed under the name uncultured bacterium. RNAcentral describes it as "partial 16S ribosomal RNA". It matches the Rfam family "Bacterial small subunit ribosomal RNA", at positions 524 to 776 of the family's 1533-position model. The record is from RNAcentral.
GACGUAGGGCGCGAGCGUUGUCCGGAUUUAUUGGGCGUAAAGAGCUCGUAGGCGGCUUGUUGCGUCGGCUGUGAAAACCCAUGGCUCAACCGUGGGCUUGCAGCCGAUACGGGCAGGCUAGAGUUCGGUAGGGGAGACUGGAAUUCCUGGUGUAGCGGUGAAAUGCGCAGAUAUCAGGAGGAACACCAAUGGCGAAGGCAGCUCGCUGGGACGGUACUGACGCUGAGACGCGAAAGCGUGGGGAGCGAACAGG